This 5269-nucleotide ribosomal RNA is filed under the name Triticum aestivum (bread wheat). RNAcentral's name for it is "partial small subunit ribosomal RNA". Lineage: Eukaryota; Viridiplantae; Streptophyta; Magnoliopsida; Poales; Poaceae. The record is from RNAcentral.
GAAGGAAAAAAGACAGGAGAAUCCAGUUUCCAGUUUUUAUACUAUUUUCCCCGUCUCUCUCUCUCUCUCCUCCCCCUGUUUCUCUCUCUCCCUCUUCCUCCCCACCCUCUCCGCCGCAUCCCCGUCUCCCCCGACCCUCACCCCCACCCCGCUGCUCCCGUCCAAACCCUAACCCUAAACCCCACCCGCGCCUCCAUCCAAUCCCUGCCUGGCGCCCACCCGUCCCCGGCGGCCCGGAUUCGGAUUCGCCGCGCCGGACCGAUUCGAUCGAUGUAGGCAGCGAGCAUCGCUGCCCACUCCGUACACAAGACACGCGCCCCCGCCUCGAGAUGGCUGCUGCGGGGUGACAAGGAGGAGGGGAGAGUAGUAGAGGGAGCGCCCAAGCGUAGAUGGCAUUGGGAGAUCUCAUGGCGUCCAGGCUCGUGCACUCGUCCUCAUCGUCGUCCUCGUCCUCGCUGCCCACUCCCUCCUUGGCGGCGGUGAACCACCAGACGGACCGCGUGGAUGGUGAGCUCCCUGUCGCGAACGGGCCGGAGCUUCGGAGGGAGGACGCCGGCGAGGAGGAUGAGGAGGGGAAGGCCGUUGCGCUCGUGCCGUGCCUGCCGCAGGUGGUUGUGCUGUGCGAGCAGCGGCACGAGGGGUUCGAUGAGGCCGUCGCUGCCGCGGCGGGGCCAUCGACCAGCGGCCUCGUCUCCAAGUGGCGCCCCAAGGACAGGAUGAAGACUGGAUGUGUUGCACUUGUAUUAUGUUUAAACAUUAGUGUUGAUCCGCCGGAUGUAAUUAAAAUUUCCCCUUGUGCAAGAAUGGAGUGUUGGAUAGAUCCAUUUUCUAUGCCACCUCCCAAAGCCCUUGAAACUAUUGGAAAAACAUUACACUCACAGUAUGAGCGGUGGCAGCCUAAGGCUCGUUACAAGCUUCAGCUGGAUCCAACAGUCGAAGAAGUCAAGAAGCUUUGUAAUACUUGCCGCAAAUAUGCCAGAUCAGAGAGAGUUCUUUUUCAUUACAAUGGUCAUGGUGUACCAAAGCCUACAGCUAAUGGAGAGAUUUGGGUGUUUAACAAGAGUUAUACACAAUAUAUCCCUCUUCCUAUUACUGAUCUCGAUUCAUGGCUGAAAACACCAUCGAUUUAUGUUUUUGACUGCUCAGCAGCUGGAAUGAUUGUGAAAGCUUUUCUAGAGCGCCUAGACUGGAGUUCAAGCUCUUCUGCGUCCUCAGUGAAGGAUUGCAUUCUCCUUGCUGCCUGUGAGGCACAUCAAACUCUUCCUCAGAGUGCAGAAUAUCCCGCUGAUGUGUUUACAGCUUGCCUGACCACUCCCAUAAAAAUGGCAUUGCACUGGUUUUGUAAACGAUCAUUACUCAGUGGUGCUCUGGAUCACUCUCUUAUUGACCAAAUUCCUGGAAGGCAAAAUGACCGUAAAACACUUCUGGGGGAGUUGAACUGGAUUUUCACUGCUAUUACAGAUACUAUUGCAUGGAAUGUUCUUCCUCAUGAAUUAUUCCAAAGGCUUUUCAGGCAGGAUCUUUUGGUCGCCAGUCUCUUUCGCAACUUCUUACUUGCUGAGAGAAUCAUGCGAUCUGCAAACUGUUCUCCAAUUACAUACCCACUAUUGCCACCCACACAUCAACACCAUAUGUGGGAUGCAUGGGACAUGGCUGCGGAGAUCUGCCUUUCCAAGCUUCCUCAUUUGAUUGCUGAUCCUAAUGCAGAGUUUCAGCCGAGCCCAUUUUUCACGGAGCAAUUGACAGCAUUUGAAGUUUGGCUUGAUCAUGGCUCUGAGGAUAAGAAACCACCUGAACAGUUACCCAUUGUUCUUCAGGUCCUGCUUAGCCAAUCACACAGAUUUAGAGCACUUGUUCUGCUUGGAAGAUUUCUUGAUAUGGGGCCAUGGGCAGUUGAUUUGGCCUUGUCUGUUGGUAUCUUCCCUUACGUGCUCAAACUGCUCCAAACAAGUGCGAUGGAGUUGCGUCAAAUUCUUGUGUUCAUAUGGACAAAAAUUCUCUCUCUUGAUAAGUCAUGCCAGGUUGAUUUGGUGAAAGAUGGAGGGCAUGCAUAUUUUAUCAGGUUUCUUGAUAGUUUGGAUGCUUACCCGGAGCAGCGUGCAAUGGCUGCUUUCGUUUUAGCAGUUAUUGUGGAUGGGCAUAGGAGGGGUCAAGAGGCUUGCAUGAGUGCAGGUCUUAUAGAUGUUUGCCUGAGACAUCUGCAACCUGAGAAUCCUCAUGAUGCACAGACAGAGCCUUUGCUUUUGCAAUGGCUUUGUUUAUGCCUUGGCAAACUCUGGGAAGAUUUCCCUGAGGCUCAGUUACUUGGUCUACAAUCAAAUGCACCCGAAAUUGUUACAUGUUUAUUGUCUGAGCCUCAACCUGAGGUCAGAGCCUCUGCUGUUUUUGCACUUGGAAAUCUGUUGGACAUUGGAUCUCCAUCAGUGAAUGGAGGUGAUGACGACUCUGAUGAUGAUGAAAAGGUGAGAGCUGAAAUAAAUGUUGUUCGAAGCCUUCUGCAAGUCACUUCAGAUGGUAGCCCUCUUGUUAGAGCUGAGGUUUCUGUAGCUCUUACUCGCUUUGCGCUGGGCCACAACAAACAUCUCAAAUCUGUUGCUGCGGAGUACUGGAGACCUCAAACCAAUUCACUGCUGAAGUCACUACCAUCAUUGGCUAAUAUUAAUAACCCAAGCAAUGUUUACAGUCCCAGUAACUUUCUGCAAAGCAGCAGUGGCCUUUCUUCGCAUAUUGGUCCUGUGUUAAGGGUUGGUAGUGAUACCAGUGCCACAGGUCGUGAUGGAAGAAUUUCUACAAGCAGCCCGAUUGCGACAAAUAGCAUCAUGCAUGGGUCUCCCCAGUCAGAUGAUUCUUCUCAGCACUCUGAUUCAGGCAUAUUGCUUAGAGAGAAUGCAAGUAACGGUGGUCUCAGCUACACCAGGUCAAGGCCUAUUAUUGACAGUGGAAUUUAUUCCCUAUUUAUUUCGACGAUGUGCUCUGUUGCUAAAGAUCCUUACCCUAGAAUUGCAAAUAUUGGCCGGAGAGCACUGUCCCUUGUAGGGGUCGAGCAAGUGGUCAUGAGAAAUACUAGAUUUGGCAGUGGGGGUGCAGGAGAGACAUCUGCUCCUUCAUCAAACAUAGGAAUGGCACGUUCUUCUUCCUGGUUCGACAUGAAUUCUGGAAUCUCAAUGGCAUUUAGGACUCCUCCUGUUAGUCCACCUCAGCAUGAUUACCUUACAGGGUUGCGCCGCGUGUGUUCUAUGGAGUUCAGACCACAUCUCUUGAAUUCACCUGAUGGCUUAGCUGAUCCGCUCUUAAGCUCUGCUGCAGCCCCCAGUACCAGUGAGCUUAAUAUACUUCCUCAAUCAACAAUAUACAACUGGAGUUGUGGCCACUUCUCUAGGCCACUUCUAACCGGUUCUGAUGAUAAUGGGGAAGUAAGUGCUAGAAGAGAAGAGAGAGAACGAACUGCACUGGAUUGCAUCGCUAAGUGCCAGCGUUCCUCAUGCAAGAUGACUAGCCAAAUUGCUAGCUGGGAUACAAAGUUUGAGUUGGGUACAAAAUCAGCAUUGCUGUUACCUUUUUCUCCUAUCGUCGUUGCAGCUGAUGAAAACGAGCAAAUAAGAGUGUGGAAUUAUGACGAUGCUCUACCAGUGAAUACUUUUGAAAACCACAAGUUAUCUGACAGAGGACUAUCCAAACUUCUACUUAUCAAUGAGCUUGAUGAAAGCUUGCUUUUAGUUGGCUCAAGUGAUGGAAAUGUCCGUAUAUGGAGAAACUAUACUCAAAAGGGAGGACAGAAACUUGUAACUGCCUUCUCAUCAGUUCAGGGCCAUCGAGCUGCAGGCCGCAGCGUUGUGAUCGACUGGCAACAGCAAUCUGGUUAUCUGUAUGCAUCUGGUGACAUGUCUUCCAUCCUCGUAUGGGAUCUUGACAAGGAGCAACUUCUCAACACCAUUCCAUCAUCUGCUGAUAGUGGCAUUUCAGCUCUGUCUGCAUCUCAGGUUAGACCUGGUCAAUUUGCUGCCGGUUUUAUUGAUGCAUCCGUAAGGAUAUUUGAUGUUCGUACCCCUGACAGGCUAGUUUACAUGGCAAGACCACAUGCCCCAAGAACUGAAAAGGUCGUCGGUAUAGGAUUUCAGCCUGGAUUUGAUCCAUACAAGAUUGUAAGCGCAUCUCAAGCUGGAGACAUUCAGUUUCUUGAUGUUAGAAGGGCUGCUGAACCCUACCUCACUAUUGAAGCUCACAGGGGUUCGUUAACAGCAUUGGCUGUUCACCGGCAUGCUCCAGUCAUUGCAAGUGGCUCAGCUAAGCAGAUGAUUAAAGUGUUCAGUCUUGAAGGAGAACAGCUAACAAUCAUUCGCUACCAGCCAUCUUUUAUGGGCCAAAGGAUAGGAAGUGUAAACUGCCUUUCGUUCCAUCCGUACAAAUCUCUCCUGGCUGCUGGAGCUGGUGAUAAUGCUCUGGUCUCUAUCUAUGCUGAGGACAAUUAUCAAGUAAGAUGAGGUCUACAUCCUGUGGCAUGCAAUGACGACACAAUCAGUAGGCCAUAUGAUUGGCUGACUGCUGGAUCCGCAGCAGGUUCAGCUACAAGAUACAAGAUGAUACAAAGCCUGGUCAGUGACAUGGUGGUGAUUGCAGUGCUGUGGCUUUUUGGUCCAUAUUGCUUGUGUUGGGCAUCUACAUCUCUGGUCGGCGAGUGCAAUUUGUAAGAUACAAAUCAAGAUUCAUUAGCCUCCCUUGCAGAAGGUUGUGAAAGUGAAAGGCAGUUGUGGUCCUGUCAGUGAAUUUGGAGGCUUCCCCAAUAAUCAUACCUAGGUUAACUGAAAUGUAAAUAGCCGUCCCCAUUUGGAUUGUUGUCCUGUCAGUCAGUUUUCUUCCUUUCCCAAAGUGUAAAAAGGUUUGUCGAUGCUUCAUCAUAUCAUAAGUCGGGUCUGGCGGGGUCUGCCCGGGCAAGUGGUUGUUUAUAUGGGCCAGGAAGGGAGAAUGCAUGCACAUGUCUCCUCACAGAUGUUCUUCAAUAGAUAGAUGCUCCUUUCCAGCUAAUAUAGCAUUAGAGGUGAGUUGUUACUAUGGCUUGCUUUAACCAGUGUUGUCCAGGUCAUUCUUUCUAAGCAUUGGACUAUCAUCAUCCAGUGUUGUCGUCAUAGCAGGGCUUCAUUGUCCAUUUGUACAUAUGAACUGCAUUUGUACAGUAGUUAAUUCUCUUAAGAUAAGUUGUAAUGCAUGUUUGUCCUUGGGUGUAUCUGGCAUAUUUUGAAUAAUUAAGUGAAAAAGAAGCUUGUCUCUGUGU